This 1190-nucleotide ribosomal RNA is filed under the name Pseudogymnoascus sp. RNAcentral's name for it is "partial large subunit ribosomal RNA". It matches the Rfam family "Eukaryotic large subunit ribosomal RNA", at positions 92 to 1458 of the family's 3401-position model. The record is from RNAcentral. Lineage: Eukaryota; Fungi; Ascomycota; Leotiomycetes; Thelebolales; Thelebolaceae.
AGUGAAGCGGUAACAGCUCAAAUUUGAAAUCUGGCCUCACGGUCCGAGUUGUAAUUUGUAGAGGAUGCUUCGAGCAUGGUCUGGCCUAAGUUCCUUGGAACAGGACGUCAUAGAGGGUGAGAAUCCCGUAUGCGGCCAGGUGCCUACGCUCAUGUGAAGCUCCUUCGACGAGUCGAGUUGUUUGGGAAUGCAGCUCAAAAUGGGUGGUAAAUUUCAUCUAAAGCUAAAUAUUGGCCAGAGACCGAUAGCGCACAAGUAGAGUGAUCGAAAGAUGAAAAGCACUUUGGAAAGAGAGUUAAACAGUACGUGAAAUUGUUGAAAGGGAAGCGCUUGCAACCAGACUUGCGCGCGGCCGAUCAUCCGGUGUUCUCACCGGUGCACUCGGCCGUGCUCAGGCCAGCAUCGGUUUUGGCGGCUGGAUAAAGGCCCUAGGAAUGUAGCUCCUCUCGGGGAGUGUUAUAGCCUAGGGUGCAAUGCAGCCUGCUGGGACCGAGGACCGCGCUUCGGCUAGGAUGCUGGCGUAAUGGUUGUAAGCGGCCCCGUCUUGAAACACGGACCAAGGAGUCUAACAUCUAUGCGAGUGUUUGGGUGUCAAACCCAUACGCGUAAUGAAAGUGAACGGAGGUGAGAACCCUUAAGGGUGCAUCAUCGACCGGUCCUGAAGUUUACGGAAGGAUCUGAGUAAGAGCAUAGCUGUUGGGACCCGAAAGAUGGUGAACUAUGCCUGAAUAGGGUGAAGCCAGAGGAAACUCUGGUGGAGGCUCGCAGCGGUUCUGACGUGCAAAUCGAUCGUCAAAUUUGGGUAUAGGGGCGAAAGACUAAUCGAACCAUUGACCUGUAGGAACACUACUAGGUGGUUAAGAGGCGGCUAAAAGUGCCGUCUAGUCCCGACGCCGGGGCGACACUGUCAAAUUGCGGGAACAUCCUUAGAGCCUAGACUACCGCAGCCUUCCUGAAAGGGGGGUGCGCACCAGGGUAAUGACCUCGGGUAUGGUAAUAACGUCUAGGAUUGGACAAUCCGCAGCCAAGCCCUACGGACCUCGGUCUAUGGGUGCAGUUCAUCGACUAGAUGGCAGUGGGUGGCAGCAAUGCCGCUUAAGAUAUAGUCAGACCCCCGGGAGACCGGGCGGCAGAACGAAGACCGUGGGGGGCGUCCUCUCUGAGAGCCCCGCGGUCCCGAGUCUGCUGGU